Long non-coding RNA from Cyprinus carpio (common carp), 1688 nucleotides. RefSeq lists it as uncharacterized. The record is from RefSeq and is a predicted model, not a curated record. The transcript is spliced from 4 exons. NCBI's taxonomy places the organism in Eukaryota, Metazoa, Chordata, Actinopteri, Cypriniformes, Cyprinidae.
UUCACUCAGUAAAAACCCCUAAGAAGCUUAUGUAUCAUAUGGCAUAACUGUGUGACACUAAGAAUUCCAUAUAUUUUCUGAAGUGGGAUUUCUUCUGCUUUCCCACAGAAAGCAGUGGAAUGUUGUUUUUCGGUAAAAACACAUAUGGAUCUAUGUAUAUCAAUGCAAUUUGUAGUUUGCUUUCCUUUUAUAAUGUAGCACAAACAUGUUUUAAAGCAAUGUAAAAGAUUUACUUAACAAUCAAAUAUGACUUUGUUUUUUUUUCAGAAUUAUAGGCUACAAAGUGUAGGCCUGAUCGGCAAGCACCAUACAAGGAUCCAGACACAACCACAUUUCUUCAGCUCUGAUAAAGACCCCCCGGAGACUCGAGUCUACUGUUAACAAUCUAUUGGACACAAAAGUAGAAAUAGCUAAUUUCUCAAGCCAGAUGAUCAGAUUUGUGUAGUUAUGACAUCUACCAGCGGGGCAAAUUUCUGAAGCUAACCAGCGAAAACUUCACCCCAUGUUCAGACCUGAACAUAAACAGCUUCUUGUGUUUGUGUGCUGAAUUCUCAUAAAAAGCCUCUUCAGCAGGAAAAAGAGCAGCUUGGACAUCCUGCUACUCUUCAAAAGACACAAGGGUGAGUAAAUGAUAACAAAAUGUUUGUUUUGGCCAAACUAUCCCUUUAACAUCUUAUUGUGUGGUCUUGAUCUUGUCUCUCUUUAUAUGCAUUGGCCGUCAUAGUUUAAGUGGAGGCCCAGCGUCUUUAUUGAGGCUCUCAGUUCCAAUUAGAUGUUGUGGAAAGCACAAAGUCUGUGACUCAGCUGUUUGCGUGGUGCAUUAUAAAAGAAUGGCAGCAGAGCGGCAGCAAACAGCGCCGUUAAAAAUGCAUGAGGUGCUACCCAGCGCUGCUCUCGCUGCGUCGAAUAGAGCUAUCACGGCUGCCUGUUAUCUCCAGAACCCCCAGGUAGAAAUGGUAAUGAUACUACUUAACACCGCUGCACAUAUGGAGGGAAAAUGGAAAUGCCAACAGCACCUCAACUAUAAAGAAAAUCAAAUUGAAAUAUUAAUCCGCUGAUUAAUAUAACAUUAUGAGAGCCCAUUCUCUUUGUUGUUUAACAACAAAGGAUUGCAAAAUAAGCAACUGCCUGAGAGGUAAGGGGUUUAAAAGAGUCCCACUGAGGUGUUAGGAUCCCUUUCAAACAUCAUUACCACACAUAAUGUAUUCACUUCCACAGUGCUGAGGUUUUGAUAUUGAUGUUUACUCAUUUAUUUUUUAAUUAAUGUUCUUUGUUAAUGAAUUCUUUGAUGAGAGGCAUUUUGUAAAUCAUUAUCCUAAGAAGAAGAUGAAGAAAAAAAAAAACAUUCUUGAAUUUGCCCGUUAAACUUGAAAACGCAAGGUGUAAGGGGAAAAAGUUGAGCAUUGAGUUGUGGGUCAUUGUUGAAAGUUUUUCUUUUUAGGGUCAUUAAUUGUUGUGUCUAUUCUGUGUGUAUGUAACUUUGGGAUUUCAGCUGGGACGUUAUACGGCCCAUUGCAAACAAUGUGUUUGAUUAGACAAAUGCAGAAGUUCAGCGCUGAACCUUCGGCGAAGUUUGAGGGCUCCUCUCAUCGACGUUGAUCAUUUUAGGGUACUUCAUAGUGCAUAUAGUCAAAAUGGAAGAUGAAGAUGUAAAGUCCUCUUCAUACAAACACUUGACUGACAAUACA